RNAcentral lists this ribosomal RNA (442 nucleotides) under uncultured bacterium. RNAcentral describes it as "partial 16S ribosomal RNA". It matches the Rfam family "Bacterial small subunit ribosomal RNA", at positions 338 to 795 of the family's 1533-position model. The record is from RNAcentral.
CCUACGGGUGGCAGCAGUGGGGAAUAUUGGGCAAUGGGCGCAACCCUGACCCAGCAACGCCGCGUGAAUGCAGAAGGCUUUCGGGUUGUAAACCUCUUUUGACAGGGAAGAGCAUGACACGGUACCUGUCGAAUAAGCCACGGCUAACUACGUCCCAGCCGCCGCGGUAAUACGUAGGGGGCAAGCGUUGUCCGAAUUUACUGGGUGUAAAGGGCGUGGAGCCGGGCUGACAAGUCAGAUGUGAAAUCCGGGGGCUCAACCCCCGAACUGCAUUGGAAACUGUUGGUCUUGAGUAUCGGAGAGGCAAGCGGAAUUCCUAGUGUAGCGGUGAAAUGCGUAGAUAUUAGGAGGAACACCAGUGGCGAAGGCGGCCUGCUGGACGACAACUGACGGUGAGGCGCGAAAGCGUGGGGAGCAAACAGGAUUAGAUACCCUUGUAGUC